UGAUUUGACACUAUGCUGCUAUGGAAAACAUUGCAUUUAUUUUACAAUUUUAGAAAACAGAUUAGUAUCAUAGAGUAUAUUGGUUAUAUUCCAGACAUAGGAAUGAAAGAAAUAGGAAUAAUAUCUACAUUUGUAAGACUACCAAGGUGAGUCUUACACAAAACCUUUCAACAUUACUAAAAUACUAAGUUUAAGUCCAAAAUACAGUUGUGGUAUACAGAUCCCUUCAAUUUCUCUAGGGUUGUUUUCUCUAUCUGUAUAACAGCGUAUGAAGUACUAAUUGAACCACAUUUUUGAGCAUUCAAAAUAAGUGAUAUCUUUUACUGAGUGCUAAACAGUUUUAAUAGCAUAUAUUUAAUGAACUAUGAGAUGUGGAUUAAAUUUCUCCUAUUAUUCUCCUAUUCUCCUAUCUGGGGUCCCCAGAUGCUCAACUGUUAAGCAUCCAACUCUUGGUUUUGGCUCAGAUCCCGAUCUCAGUGUCCUGAGAUCAAGCCCCUCAUGGGCUCCAGGCUCAGUGAGGAGUCCACUUCCCUUUCCCCCUGCUCACCCCUACUCCCUCCCACACACUUUCUCUAAAAUAAAUAAAAUAAAAACUUUAAAAGAAUUUUUCUCAAAAAAAAAGAAUUUUUCUCCUACUUUAUAUUUGGAAAAUCUGAGGCACAAAAAUUUUAUAUAUUCUGUGCAGUAUUCCAUUUUGUAUUUGUAAGAAAACCUUUAGUGGAUUCAGGCUGAAUAUCUCGAAAACCCUUUUUUAAAACAUGAGAUAUACGAAUUCUCCAAAUGUGUGUCAUUAUCUAACACCUCUGUGCUAUUUGCAUACAUUUAUAACUCAGUCUUCUUUCCUUAUGUAUAUUUUUAGCCUCAAUAUAAUUAUUACCUUCUUCUAAAAGUCCUCCCAGAACUCCAAAAUUACUUAGAAGCUAUACGGUAUGCCCUAUUGUAUUUUUUUUAAGAUUUAUUUAUUUAUUUAUGAUAGAGAGAGAGAGAGAGAGAGAGAGAGAGGCAGAGACACAGGAGGAGGGAGAAGCAGGCUCCAUGAUCGAGUCCCACAUCGGGCUCCCUGCAUGCUUCUCCCUCUGCCUGUGUCUCUGCCCCCUCUCUCUCUCUCUGUGUCUCUCAUGAAUAAAAUAAAAUUUUAAAAAACCCUAAAUGAAUAUAUAUAUUAAUUACAUAUUUUAACUAAAUAUAUAUAUUAACCUAAAUAUUUAUAUAUGUACCUAAAGUGGAAAAGGACACAUAUUCUCUAAUUUAUCUAUUUGUAAAUUAUUUUUCCAUCUGAAAUUUACAAUGAUACAUAAUUACAUGCUAAAGAUAAUUCUAACUUCUUUCCUAACCAUUUGUUCUCUUUAUUGUAAUAUUUCUCACAAUUUUUUCUCUUUUUUUAAAAAUUUUUUUAUUUAUUUAUGAUAGUCACAGAGAGAGAGAGAGAGGCAGAGACAGAGGCAGAGGGAGAAGCAGGCUCCAUGCACUGGGAGCCCGAUGUGGGAUUCGAUUCCGGGUCUCCAGGAUCGCGCCCUGGGCCAAAGGCAGGCGCCAAACCGCUGCGCCACCCAGGGAUCCCUUUUCUCUUGAACUUGAAUAUUUUCUUUGGCUAAUAUGCAUUUUUACCCAUUCUUCCUGAGUCGACUCAACUCUACAUGCAUAAUUUAAAUAAAAGAACAUGAAUCAUUUUUAGUGUAGUUUUCCAUCAUUUUUAUUCCACCUGAGCAAAAGACACAAAGUUGUUCUGUGUUUUAGAAAUUGUAUCCGAGUGAUUUUCAAAACCAGGAUUUAGAGUUAUAUAUAAUUCCUAUGAUAGUCAAUGACUAAGCAGGAUUGACUUCCAUUAAUUAGAUAAAGUGAAUCUUUUUCUGUACUAAGAAUACACAAUUAUUAUCAACUUUCUUGACUGACUAAGCUAUGGCAUUCAAAUGGUUGGUUGUCUUUUAGGAAAUAUAAUAAAUACAACAAAGGAAAACAUGACAAAAACAAACAACAUAUUUUAAUGAAAAUAUUCUGUAUUUUUUCAAUUAACCUUUUUGAGGUGUAUUCCUAAUGUGUCUACAUAAUUUGGGUCACUGCUUUUUAAUAUUCCCCAAUAUCUUUGUAAAACUAUUGAUUACUUCAGAAAUUAUUGUAGGAAAGUAAAAUCUGCCAUCCCAAAAUGUGUCUCUUUGACAUGACGAUUAAUUUAAGAUGAUUAUUUUUAAGAAAUGGAGGUCUCAGAAUGUUUUCCUUUUUACCUCCUCAAAUGUCUAAAAGAAUUUAGAUAAAAGACUUUCUUCAAAAAGGGAGAUAUUACCACAAAUAAUUAUGGUUGUUUGUAUGCUAAUAUGAAUUGGCAAGAUCUAAAAUGUGGUCGAGAGGGAGGACCUUAGCAAAGUCUGGUUCUUAAAAUUCUUCUUUAUGUUCAUUCUUUCUGUGUGGCCCAGCAAAAAUUUGUUUCCCAAACACUUACUCUUUUUCAUUUUCCUUUGAAAUCUCUUCCUUGUCUUUGAAGUCCCAGACCCCUACAUCCUUUGUAGCUUAAAAUGGUAGUCUCAAAUGCCUGACUGCCCAUAAUUCUCAUAAUCUUACAAAGCUCCCUUCCCAUAUAUAUGCUAUUAAUUUGAUAUUUUCCUGUUAAUGUCUCAUGUCAAUUUAAUUCUUAAACCAGCAAAAAGAAUCUGAAUAGUAGAGUAAAAUGUUUCCUCCCAAACAUUAUAUUACUGUCUGUCCUUUCUAAGUGUAAAAAUUCUGUU
RNAcentral lists this long non-coding RNA (2720 nucleotides) under Canis lupus familiaris (dog). RNAcentral describes it as "lncRNA (ENSCAFG00845001338.1)". The record is from RNAcentral. Lineage: Eukaryota; Metazoa; Chordata; Mammalia; Carnivora; Canidae.